GACAGAGGGUGCGAGCGUUGUUCGGAAUUACUGGGCGUAAAGCGCGCGCAGGCGGAUCCUGUAAGUCGGAAGUGAAAUGUGGCUGCUCAACGGCCACGCUGCUUCUGAUACUGCGGAUCUGGGGACCGGUAGAGGCUGGUGGAAUUGCAGGUGUAGCGGUGGAAUGCGUAGAGAUCUGCAAGAACACCCGUGGCGAAGGCGGCCAGCUGGGCCGGAUCCGACGCUGAGGCGCGAAAGCGUGGGGAGCAAACAGGAUUAGAAACCCUCGUAGUCC
Molecule: ribosomal RNA, 274 nt
Filed under: uncultured bacterium
Lineage: Bacteria
Description: partial 16S ribosomal RNA
Rfam family: Bacterial small subunit ribosomal RNA
Source: RNAcentral